This 313-nucleotide long non-coding RNA is filed under the name Ananas comosus (pineapple). RNAcentral's name for it is "long non-coding RNA (ACOM_LNC020441)". Lineage: Eukaryota; Viridiplantae; Streptophyta; Magnoliopsida; Poales; Bromeliaceae. The record is from RNAcentral.
AUAGUUUAUUUUAUUUAGAAAUAAACUUAACUUGAAAUGUGAAUCAACUAGAAUUUGAACUUGAGAUCUCGGGUAUCAACCAUUAAAUCCUUUACCACUUGCUCUAGAAACGGUUGGUAGGUCAACAAUAGUUAAAAUCCAAAAUUUUAUAUUCCAAAAGCACUUAUCUACUAUUCUGAUAACUGUGUGGUAUUAUUAUUAUUAUUAUAUAGCUGAAAAAUAAGUUUUAUAAGUGUUUGGUUUGACGUGAAAGAUUGUUUUAGUUAAAAGUAAUUUUAUAUAUUGCAGGAGGAAAAAAAUUUUUAUUUUUAUU